AGCAAAACACCAUCCAACACAUCUGACUUUCCAAAGAACCCUUAGGUUUCUACUUCAAUUGUGAGCUAACAUUUACCCUUUCUUCCCUCACUUGCCUCUUGCCAGGGCAUUUUAUCACAGGAGCAGAAAUGAAACUAGAACACACCUUCCUCCAGGGCCCCCCACUCAAUGAGCAACAGCCCAGGUAUGCUCCAGAGAUGCCCAUUGAAUGAUGAACUUCAUUCUGAGUUUCAAGACUCUAUUGGUAGGCUAAGAUGGGGGUGGGCAGAGGCUGAGGCUGUGCUAGCAUGGACAAACACUAUCUGAAGGCUAAGACUUGUAGGAGACUGAAGACAUCAGCAGAGGAUUGCUGAACUUUUUAGUCACCAACUUGCUAAUGUCAGCUGUUGAGGAGAUGCUCUUUCGCUUAGGAAGACGAUUUGCUCCUUUUGUAAGACUGGUACAUUAUGAUGUCAUUGAAACAUCCACUGUGUUGGCUGGUUUGAUUCCAAAGUACAGGACCUAUAGGAUGCUCACUGCUGGAAAUAUACUGAAGGAAUAGUAUUGAAAGUGUGGAAAGGGACUAUCAUAAUAACCCAGUAGGAUACAUGUGAACUUGCAGAGCUGAAAGGCUGUUUCAGAGUAAAGCAAUGACUGUGUGAGCUAUUUGUGACAAGCUUCUCUUGUCAUAGAUUCUAUGAGAAGGGUUUGACUUCCCAUGAAAACUGAGUGGUUCAGAAAGAGAAUUCAGAGGCAAUGCAGAUAACACUUUGCUGUUGGAAAAAGUGAAACAGAUCUCUCUCCAUGGCAGGAGGCCUCGACUAACUCAGUUCAAGGAGAGUAGAGAACCCAGAAGCCAGAGCCUUCCCAUCAGACACAUCUCGGCAGUGUAGCUUGGAUGGUCUUUGUGAAGACUGCUUUGUCUGAAGUGAUGCCAGGUUCCCCUCUUACCACGUACAGUAUGUGUUUUAGAAGACACCCCAGUGAUUGGGAUUCACUACACAGAGGGAGGAGAUCUGUCAUCACUCAUACACUCGGUCACCAGUGUAAGAUGCAUCCCAGCUGCUGUGUGUGUGUUCCAUGGAUCCCUAAUCUUUCAGGUACCAAGUUGUCAUCAUAAUUAGAAGGGGAAGUGAUGUCAUUAAUCCUAGGCCAUAGCAGCUUCAGUAGAAAGGACCAGUUUCUUUUCUUUUCUUUUUUUUUUAAAGAUUUAUUUAUUAUUAUAAAUAAGUACACUGUAGCUGUCUUCAGAUGCACCAGAAGAGGUCAUCAGAU
RNAcentral lists this long non-coding RNA (1254 nucleotides) under Mus spicilegus (steppe mouse). RNAcentral's name for it is "lncRNA (ENSMSIG00000021944.1)". The record is from RNAcentral. Lineage: Eukaryota; Metazoa; Chordata; Mammalia; Rodentia; Muridae.